RNAcentral lists this long non-coding RNA (2329 nucleotides) under Homo sapiens (human). RNAcentral describes it as "HSALNT0398694". Lineage: Eukaryota; Metazoa; Chordata; Mammalia; Primates; Hominidae. The record is from RNAcentral.
GCGCCUGGGAGGGACUCUGGACGCCCAGCUUACCUUCUCUGGGACUUUUCAGGGGUUCGGGGCGGGUUUCCUGGGAUUCCCAAAGCCGAAGGGAAGGUGGGGGAAUCCGAGUCCUCUUGUAACCACUCUCCCUAAAUGUGGAGUCCACUGGCCUUCCAGCCACCUCCAGGUGACCUAGGGCGAAGGAUAGGCGGCGGGGAUGGCCCCGAAACCGACCUAGGAAUCCCACCACGUUCUAGUCCAGUGUCCUUGAGUUCUUUCCCGAGUUAACCAACGUAUCACCCCAGAGUUCUAUAGCUGUUCUUUCGGAUGCCUUCCAGAAGGGAUUCAGGCAUGGGAUGGGAGAGAAGGGUGGGCGAGGCGUCCUUUAAGAAGACAGCGAUGGAGUGGGUUGGAGCUCAAGAGUGGACGCUGCAGAAAUGAAAAGGAGGCCUUUCCUCAUCCAACGACAACGGAGUCCCGCUCUGUCUCCCAGGCUGGAGUGCAGUGUGGCGCGAUCUCGGCUCACUACAACCUCCGCCUCCCAGGUUCAAGCGAUUCUCCUGCCUCAGCCUCAUGAGUAGCUGGAACUACAGGUGCCCUCCACCACGCCCGGCUAAUUUUUGUAUUUUUAGUAAAGACGGGGUUUCACCAUGUUGGCCAGGAUGGUCUCGAUCUCCUAACCUCGUGAUCCACCCGCCUCAGCCUCCCAAAGUGCUGGGAUUACAGACGUGAGCCACCCGCCGGGCCUGAUCUGGGAAUUUUGUAGGGCUUAUAUUUAUUUGUGUAUUUGUGAUUCUCCUGAGGUCCGGGAAAUAUGUAGGCGGAGGAUUACCUAGGUGCCCAGGCAAGAGACUGAAGGCACAAACUGUUUCAGUAUAAUAAACAAAAUAGUUAGAAUAAGAAUAGUCAUAAUACAAAUUAGAUGUAGAGAUGAUCAUGGACAAUUAUCAAUCAUUAUUAUAAACAUUAUUAAUCAUUAGCUUUUAAUAUUACUCUUUGCUGCAUUACUAAUGUAAGCUAGGAAUAACCGGCAGGUAUAGGGUCAGGUGCUGAAGGGACAUGGUGAGAAGUGACCUAGAAGGCAAGAGGUGAGCCCUCUGUCACGCGCACAUCAGGGCCGCUUGAGGGGUCCUUGGUCAAGUGGUAACGCCAGUGUCUGGGAAGGCACCCGUUACUUAGCAGACCACGAAAGGGAGUCUCCUUUCCUUGGAGGAGUCAGGGAACACUCUGCUCCACCAGCUUCUUGUGGAAGGCUGGAUAUUAUCCAGGCCUGCCCGCAGUCAUCCCGAGGCCUAAACCCCUCCCUGUGGUGCUGUGCUUCAAUGCUUACACUCCUCCUUCACUUUCAUUCUCCUCCCAUACUCCUGGUUCCUCUUUGAAGUUCAUAGUAGAUAGCGGUAGAAGAAAUAGUGAAAGUCUUAAAGUCUUUGAUCUUAGAAGUGCAUAGAAGAAAACACUGACGUAUGCUGCCUUCUGUCUCUGCUUCGGCUACCUAAGAGGGAAGGGCACCCUGUCCCGUGAUCACGUGACUUGCUUCACCUUGUCAAUCACUUCGAAGAUUCACCCUCUUUACUCUGCCCCCUUGUCUUGUAUGCAAUAAAUAUCAGCGAGCCCAGCCGUUAUGGGCCACUACCGGUCUCUGCGUCUUGAUGAUAGUGGUCCCCUGGGCCCAGCUGCUUUCUCUUUAUUUUUGUCUUGUGCCUUUAUUUAUUACAAUCUCUCAUCUCUGCACAUGGGGAGAACACCUGCUAAGCCCCAUAGGGUUGGAGCCUACAGAAAUGGACAAGAUGGCCUUCUGUGGGACAGAGAUUGGUUGCAGUAGCUCAUUUGAUCUUUAUGAAGGUCUUCUGUUGACCAGGUAUAUUCAGAGGCUUAGAUUGGAGGGUAAGGAGGGAGCUGAUAGUGGGAAUGGAGGCGGGAUCAGAUCAUGAAGGCCAGACCCAGGGGCUUUGAUAGUGCCUAUAGGCAAUGGGCUACGGAAGGACUUCAGCAGGGAAGGGCAGGAUCAGAUCUGCAUGAUGAAAGAAUCCCUCUGGAGCCAGGGUGGGAUGGAGGAGAAGGAGGCUGGGGCAAUAGCUCAGGUGAAACAAAAUGGAACUUGAGCUGGACCAGGAACCUGGAGAAGAGGGCGGUAGAAAUGGUAUUUAGGGGGAAGAAUAGACAGUGUUUGAUGAGGGACUGACUUGAGUAGACGGGGGGAAGGUACCACCAUGUGCUUGGGUUCUCAGCUCUGAGAGGCUAUUACUGAAAUGGGGGGACCUGGGAGGACGAGGUGACUGGGGAGGAAAGCUCCUUCACUCAAAUUAGGACGUUGUAUUUGUGAGGUGCUCAGGGGACAGACUCCAAG